Molecule: ribosomal RNA, 439 nt
Filed under: uncultured bacterium
Lineage: Bacteria
Description: partial 16S ribosomal RNA
Rfam family: Bacterial small subunit ribosomal RNA
Source: RNAcentral
CCUACGGGUGGCAGCAGUGGGGAAUAUUGCACAAUGGGGGGAACCCUGAUGCAGCGACGCCGCGUGAGUGAAGAAGUAUUUCGGUAUGUAAAGCUCUAUCAGCAGGGAAGAAAAUGACGGUACCUGACUAAGAAGCCCCGGCUAACUACGUGCCAGCAGCCGCGGUAAUACGUAGGGGGCAAGCGUUAUCCGGAUUUACUGGGUGUAAAGGGAGCGCAGACGGCUGUGCAAGUCUGGAGUGAAAGGCGGGGCCCAACCCCCGGACUGCUCUGGAAACUGUAAAGCUGGAGUGCAGGAGAGGUAAGCGGAAUUCCUAGUGUAGCGGUGAAAUGCGUAGAUAUUAGGAGGAACACCAGUGGCGAAGGCGGCUUACUGGACUGCAACUGACGUUGAGGCUCGAAAGCGUGGGGAGCAAACAGGAUUAGAUACCCGAGUAGUC